This 104-nucleotide non-coding RNA is filed under the name Atribacterota. RNAcentral's name for it is "Candidatus Atribacteria Guanine sequence". It matches the Rfam family "Purine riboswitch aptamer". Rfam says of the family: Riboswitches are metabolite binding domains within certain messenger RNAs that serve as precision sensors for their corresponding targets. Lineage: Bacteria; Pseudomonadati. The record is from RNAcentral.
AAAAAUUAAAUUAUAGAUGCUCGUAUAAACUCUUGGAUAUGGCAAGAGUGUUUCUACCAUGUGACCGUAAAUCACAAUAGGCUACGGGUGGAAGUGCACCUUAG